UCAAGUUACAAAGGGCUAACGGUGGAUACCUAG
This 33-nucleotide ribosomal RNA is filed under the name Geitlerinema sp. CHL-SH1. Its description in RNAcentral is "partial 23S ribosomal RNA". RNAcentral also lists the same sequence under 19 other names. Lineage: Bacteria; Bacillati; Cyanobacteriota; Cyanophyceae; Geitlerinematales; Geitlerinemataceae. The record is from RNAcentral.